AAGUCGUAACAAGGUUUCCGUAGGUGAACCUGCGGAAGGAUCAUUAUCACGUUAUCCACGUAUCAACCAUUGUGAACUAGUUUAUUGACCUUUGGAUUAGGAAGGUAGUGUUAUAUUAAACCGUUAUCAAACAAUUAAAUGAUUGGAAAUUGUUGAGGUUUAAUACGACCAAACAAAUUCGUUUGUUUACUUUCUAAUUCAGAGUGUAUUUAUUUUCCAAUCAAUUCUCUAUUUAUUAACCAUUAAAACCCAAAAUUUUUCUAAAUUUUGAACUGAUUUAAUUUCUUACUUUCAAAUUCAUUUUUGAGAGAAGAAAUAAAUGAUUACGAAACAUAAGAACAACUCUUAGCAACGGAUAUCUUGGUUCUC
Molecule: unclassified non-coding RNA, 369 nt
Filed under: fungal sp.
Lineage: Eukaryota; Fungi
Description: partial internal transcribed spacer region
Rfam family: Eukaryotic small subunit ribosomal RNA (bases 1-46)
Source: RNAcentral